CCGGAGGCAGCAGUGGGGAAUUGUUCGCAAUGGGCGCAAGCCUGACGACGCAAUGCCGCGUGGAGGACGAAGAUCUUCGGAUCGUAAACUCCUGUCGAGCGGGACGAACGUCCCCGGACCUAACACGUCCGGGGAGUGACGGUACCGCGAGAGGAAGCCCCGGCUAACUCCGUGCCAGCAGCCGCGGUAAUACGGGGGGGGCAAGCGUUGUUCGGAAUUACUGGGCGUAAAGGGCUCGUAGGCGGCCAACUAAGUCAGACGUGAAAUCCCUCGGCUUAACCGAGGAACUGCGUCUGAUACUGGAUGGCUUGAAUCCGGGAGAGGGAUGCGGAAUUCCAGGUGUAGCGGUGAAAUGCGUAGAUAUCUGGAGGAACACCGGUGGCGAAGGCGGCAUCCUGGACCGGUAUUGACGCUGAGGAGCGAAAGCCAGGGGAGCAAACGGGAUUAGAUACCCUGGUAGC
This 461-nucleotide ribosomal RNA is filed under the name uncultured bacterium. RNAcentral describes it as "bacterial SSU rRNA". It matches the Rfam family "Bacterial small subunit ribosomal RNA", at positions 342 to 794 of the family's 1533-position model. The record is from RNAcentral.